UGGGUGGCUGGACAUGCCAUGGAGUUCUGGUCCAGUCUUUCAUGUCUUAAACAGGAUGAUAAGACAAGUUUAGGUUACAUUUUGAAGGAUGGAAACUGGACUUUCAAUUAAGUCAGUAGCAAGGGAAGCACAAAACCAGGGGAUACGGUGGUGCUGCUUUCCAGCAGAAAAGCAGUUCAAAGCCCGGACUGCGCCUUCUGGAGCGAAAUUCAAAUGUGGAAGCUUCGAAUAGUCAAGAGCUCUGCACCCCCCGGAAGGAAUACAGAUGAUGACUGAAGAAUUUCCAGAGAAUCUAGUGGAGGUGGGAAAGUGUCCUUCUCCAGGGAGGGUCCUGAAGAUGGGAGCAGAUUCCUGCUCUCCAGCAGCCCCUCCUCACCCAGGCCUCAGUUUCCAGGGAGAACAUGUUCAGCCUUCCUCCGUGAGAGGGGCUGGGAGGCAGCGAGGGUGAUGCCCCGAGGUUUCUGGUGGCUGCUGGCAUUCCUUGGUUUGUGGCCUCAUCACUCCAAUCUUCAAGGCCAGCAUCUUUGAAUUUCUCCCUGAUCCAUCGUCACAUGGCCUUCUCAUCUGUGUGUGUGGUCAAAUCUCCCUCUGCCUCACUCUGAUAAGGAUAAAUGUGUGUGCCUUUAGGGCGUAUCCAGAUAACCCUCCGUCCCAAGAUCCUUAAUUUACUCUCAUCUGCAAAGACCCCUUUGUUUUGCCAUACAAUGUAAAAUUCACAGGUCACAUGGAUUAGAAUACUGAUUUUUUGUGGGGGCAGGAGUCAUUUUUCAGCCUACCAAAGAUGGAGCAAAGAAUUGGAGUGAGGGGGAGACGCUUGAGUGCCUCAUCGUCUUAGGACAGGCUCUCUAGUAGCAGACCGUGGGAUGAGGUUCACUGUGCACACAGUUUAUCAGGGAAGCGCUCCCAGGAGAAACUGGCAAGACAAUGGGAGAUGCAGGUCAGAGAAGGGGAAGAAACUCAGUAGGGUGAGAUUUGAAGUCCCAGCCUGCUCUGGUUUGAAUGUGCCCCCUAAAAGUUCAUGUGUUACAAACUUCAUUGCCAAUGUAACAGUAUUAAGACGUGGGGCCUUUAAGAGAUCCUUGGAUCACAAGAGUGGAGCCCUCCUGCAUGGAUUACUGCCAUUAUCAUGGGAGUGAAUUAGUUCUCUAGGGAGGAAGUUACUUCUCACGAGAGUGGGUUGUUAUAAAAUGAGCUCAGCUCACUUUUGCAGUCUUUUUCAUAUGUGCUUGCUUGCUCUCUCUCUGUAUAAUGCCUUCCCCAAUGUUAUGAUGAGCAAGAAAACCCUCACCAGGUGCUGAUGCCAUGCCCUUGGACUUCCCAGCCUCCAAGACCAUGAGCCAAAUAACCUUUUGGUCUUUAUAAAUUACCCAGUAUCAGUCAUUCUAUUAAAGCAACAGAAAAUGGUCUAAAACACAGCAUCAUAUUAAUCCCACAGAGAGCUUUAAAAAAGGAAAUUCACUGAUGAAAUUGAAUCUCACUUUUAUCACUACCCAUUCCUAUUUCCCUCCUUUCCUUUCCAGAGGAAGUUAUUGUCAUAAAUUUGGUAUGUGCCUUCUUGUCCACUUAAAAAAUGCUUAUAAUAUAUAUUUGUGUCCCUAAUCAUGUAAAGUAUUAUCUUCCACAUUUAAAAAAUUUAUGUAAUAAAUUUAUGUAAUAAAUAA
Molecule: long non-coding RNA, 1661 nt
Filed under: Homo sapiens (human)
Lineage: Eukaryota; Metazoa; Chordata; Mammalia; Primates; Hominidae
Description: HSALNT0317418
Source: RNAcentral